RNAcentral lists this ribosomal RNA (739 nucleotides) under uncultured methanogen MRE02. Its description in RNAcentral is "SSU rRNA". It matches the Rfam family "Archaeal small subunit ribosomal RNA", at positions 107 to 847 of the family's 1478-position model. The record is from RNAcentral. Lineage: Archaea; Methanobacteriati; Methanobacteriota.
ACCUACCAAAGGUCUGGGAUAACUCCGGGAAACUGGGGAUAAUACCGGAUAGGUCAAGAGUACUGGAAGGGUUUUUUGAUUGAGAGCUCUGGCGCCUUUGGAUGGGUCUGCGGCUGAUUAGGUUGACGCCGGUGUAAAGUACCGGCGUGCCGAUUAUCAGUACAGGUUGUGGGAGCAAGAGCCCGGAGAUGGAUUCUGAGACAGGAAUCCAGGCCUUACGGGGCGCAGCAGGCGCGAAAAUUCUACAAUGCAGGCAACUGCGAUAGGGGAACAUCGAGUGGCAUCUACAUUAGGUGUCUGUCCAGCUGUCUAAAAAGCGGCUGUUAGCAAGGGCCGGGCAAGACCGGUGCCAGCCGCCGCGGUAAUACCGGCGGCUCGAGUGGUGGCCGAUAUUAUUGAGUCUAAAGGGUCCGUAGCCGGCUUUGCAAGUCUUGUGGGAAAUCCAGCGGCUUAACCGUUGGGCGUCUGCGGGAUACUACAUUGCUUGGGACUGGGAGAGGUAGGAGGUACUCAGGGGGUAGGAGUGAAAUCCUGUAAUCCUCUGGGGACCACCGGUGGCGAAGGGGUCCUACCAGAACAGGUCCGACGGUGAGGGACGAAAGCUAGGGGCACGAACCGGAUUAGAUACCCGGGUAGUCCUAGCCGUAAACGAUGCCCGCUAGGUGUCACGGCAGUCGUGAACUGCCGUGGUGCCGUAGGGAAGCCGUGAAGCGGGGCACUUGGGAAGUACGACCGCAAG